RNAcentral lists this ribosomal RNA (921 nucleotides) under Triticum aestivum (bread wheat). Its description in RNAcentral is "partial small subunit ribosomal RNA". Lineage: Eukaryota; Viridiplantae; Streptophyta; Magnoliopsida; Poales; Poaceae. The record is from RNAcentral.
AUGGCAUGGUGGAAAUUGUGUGUGCCGAAGUGCAAAGGAGAUAUGGGGUUUAGAGACAUCCACUGUUUUAAUUUAGUUCUUCUAGCAAAACAAGCAUGGAGAUUAAUAAAUCAUCCAGAUUCUUUGGGUGCUGGUGUUAUGAAGGCAAAGCAUUUUCCUAAUGGAGAUUUGCUCAAUGCCAAAUUAAAAAAGGUAGCUUCCUUCACUUGGCAAAGUGUUCUGGCAGGGGUUAAUACUUUUAAACAUGGGUGCAUAUGGAGAGUGGGUGAUGGACAUAAAAUCAAUAUAUGGGAUGACCCAUGGAUUCCUAGUUUGUGUAACAGAAAAGUUGUUAUUAUACGUGGCAACCAUAUCAUAUCAGAAGUAAAUGACUUGAUUGAGCAUUGUACUAACUAGUGGGAUGAGGAACUGGUGAGACAAACCUUCUGGUAGGUGGAUGUUCACCGAAUCUUAGCAAUUCACCUCCAAACUAUGAUGGAGGAUUUUGUUACAUGGGGUAUGACAAAAAGUUUUAGGGUUUUCAUGAAAUUAGCAUAUUAUGUUGAGUAGGACCACAAAUUCGGGGGCAACCUAUGUCGAGCAAAUGGGCAAGGAAUAAUGCAAGUCAGAAGUGUGUGGCAGUGAAUUUGGAGUUUGGACUGUUCGGCAAAGGUAAACAUAUUUGUCUAGAAAACUCUUCAUGGAACUUUACCUUGUGGUGUUAAUCUUUUAAACAAGGAUGUUAAGGUAUCACCACAAUGCCCUGCUCGCAGAACAGGGGUUGAUACUACUUUACACGCGUUGUUUCAGUGUCCAUCAGCUAUGCAAGUUUGGGAGGACUUGGGCUGGAUAAUAUUAUUAGUAAUGCAUGUCAAAUUGAUAGAGAAGGAGAAACUGUGCUUGAAUAUCUCAUGGAGUUGCCAGAACAUGAGACGUUUGUGA